UUUUUUGUUUUUCUUAUGAGGGAAAUUCUACAGCUGUAUUAUUCCGUAAUAACUGUUGGAAUAUUGAAUAUUAACAUAUCUUUCUCGUUAUGUUGGAAAAUUGGAAUGCAAGACUCAUUUCUGAUUACAAAUAGAAAUUCUGGUAUUUAGCGUUUGUGUUUUUUACACAAUUACAGAUAGUUUGAGGCCUCUACGUUUGUUUGUCGAUAGUUGAUUGUUGCUUUACGUGUGUCAUGCAUGUUUAGGACAAGAAUAUAUCAUCAGCUUAUAUACAAUAGGUUAGUUCUGAAGAAGUCGAUCGGGAUAUGAGGUGUAACCAAUCGAACCGUUCGGAGAGUUGUUACAAGGAUUCACCGACGUUCAGAGGAUCGUUUGACUUUGCUAAGUUUCUUAAAUUAGAAAGAGUUAAUCGUUGCUGCAUAUAUAAAUUUGAUUUUACUUUGUUGAUAUUUUUUUAAUUCUCCUGACUUCCAGCAGAUAUAUAUUGAGAGAAUUUGCGUGUUCGAGUGACGUAUACAGCUAGUAGUGAAAUGAUUGAGGUUUGUGCAUGAGCAAUACUUCCGAGUCAUUGAUUCACGCUGUUCUCGUAGCUUGCUGUACUUAAAUAAAUGAUAGUAUCAUAGGGUAUUUUUGUUUUAAUUUUAGUUUUUUUUAUGAAUUCUUUUAACACAUUUUCUUUUCCACGUAUAAAAGGGAGAUAUUCAUUGGUAUGAUGAGAAUGAAUUUUUAGUAAAU
This 735-nucleotide long non-coding RNA is filed under the name Mytilus galloprovincialis (Mediterranean mussel). The record is from RNAcentral. Lineage: Eukaryota; Metazoa; Mollusca; Bivalvia; Mytilida; Mytilidae.